AUGGAGACAGAGUCUUGGGGAAGCCCUGCUGUGGCUGAGCUUGGCUUCUCAGGAAAAGGGCUGUUCUUUCUCUGGAGGUGGACAUACACAAGUUAUUCUUCAAAUAAUAUUUCUGUUGUAGUAUAUAAUGUUCUCUUUUUAAAAACGGAGGAGCAGCGUGUGAAGACUUCUCCUGGAGGAAGGGGUAGAUGAGAAUCAUUUGUUCCAGUGGCCAUGAAGGUGGUGGAAACAGGCACUGUGGAAUGCUUGGAGCAUGGUUAAUCAUUGAAGACACCGAGGACAUUCCAAUGAAUCCUGGGACAGCUCUAGUUUUUGUCUUGCCACUGGACUUCGAUGACUGAAAGAAAGAGUGAAAUCGAUGAUUUUGUGCACUUUUGCCUCACUUAAAUCCAGUUCGCCAGUGAUGACAAUGAUCUUCUUCAAAAACAAAGCUCAAACAAGAACAAAAUAAU
Molecule: long non-coding RNA, 452 nt
Filed under: Monodelphis domestica (gray short-tailed opossum)
Lineage: Eukaryota; Metazoa; Chordata; Mammalia; Didelphimorphia; Didelphidae
Description: lncRNA (ENSMODG00000035364.2)
Source: RNAcentral